CUGAGCUCCAAGGGCCGGCGCCGCGCGUGCCUGCGGUCCCAGCUGCUCGGGAGGCCCAGGCAGGAGAAUCGCGUGACCGGGAGUUCUGCGCUGCAGUGCGCUGUGCCGAUCCAGGUCCUCACUGAAGCCGGCAUCAGUAUGGUGGCCUCUGCCACCAGGCCGCCUAGGGAGGGGCGAGGCAGCCCCAGUUGGAAACGGAGCGCGUCAGUAGUGGCAUCGCGCCUGGGAAUAGCCUCUGCGCUCCAGCCGGGUCGACCUGCCGAGACUCCGCCUCUAAAACCAGCAAAUACCGGGAGGCUGAGGGACGAGGACCGCUGGAGCCCGGGAGGCGGAGGUUGCAGUGAGUAGCUGGGAUUACAGGCAGGCGCCACCACGCCCGGGUCCAUUAUUGGGCGAAGGUCACUGCAGACUCAGGGAGGCCCAGGAGCUCACCCCAACCAGCUUCUUUACCAGAGAUGGGGGUUGCUAUGUUUUCCAGGCUGGUUUUGAACUCCUAUCCUCAAGUGAUCCUCCCACCUCAGCCUCCCAAAGCACUGGGAUUAUAGAUGUGAGCCACCAAUCUUAGCCCAAAUUUUUAACUAAACUCAAUUAAACAAAUGAACAAACAGAAAAGACUCUCAAACCACACACUGUCGUCUCUCACCCAACAGAGACAAGACGUCUAUAAACCACCAAUCUGUUUAAAGAGACCACCAAAUGUUCAGACCAUGAAACUGAAAGAAUCAAAAUAAAGUUGUCACUAUGCCACCAACGGACAAAAGCCAGGAGCACACAACCAGGGGUCAUACUCACUGAAGGUCCCCCACCCUGAUGGCCAGUCAGGGGCGGCUUGCGGGUCUCAGAGAGGGCUCACCACCUGCUUGCAGUCAUUGGGGAUGGGAAGGUAAGUCCAACCCAUGCCAGGUCAAGGCACAAAGACUGUGGGGGGAAUGCACCAGACACAUAAAGAGAUGACUUUAUUCAGGCUACUGCUAUGGGAAGAAAACUCACUAAUGAGGAAGGAGGGGCCUGGUAAAUAAGAGACUCAUGUGGAAGGCUGGAGGCGGGGUCUUAGAAUGGACAAGGGCAAAGUGCUCCUUCUGGUCUCACUAUUUCUCAGAACGCAAAGGAAGAGGCAAUUUCUCAGUGAGCACCAUUUCCCUGGAACCCAGGGCUGAGAUGAAUUUCAGUACUGCCAGCGGCCUCCGCGUUCUCCUGUGUGUGUAGGAGUUUGUGUGUUCCAGUGUGCGUGUUCCCACUGUGUCUUGGUGUUUCUGUGUGCCUGGUGGCAUGUCUGUGUGUGUAUCUGCAGGGUGAAAGACCACAGAUACUAUCCGAAUUCCCGUGCUCAAGUGCGCCUCCUGCCUUGGCUUUCCUGAGUGUGGGGAUGACAGGCGUGAGCCACCACGCUGGGCCUCAUGAUCUGUUUCUAGUGCAGUGAGUGCAUCUUAGGGUGGGUGCCCGCCUCCAUGCUUAGUAGGGCAUGGAUGCUGUGUAUGCCAUCUGUCGGUAGGAUGGUUACACUUCUGUGUGUUGGCUGAUGUGUGUGUCUCAGUAUUUAGUCGGCUCUGGUGGCACAUGUGUGUGUUGCAGGUUGUAUAAGUUGCUGUUUCUCUGUGUCUGGUGGAAGGUGUCUAUGGUUGCAGAGUGAGGGUCUCUUGGUGUUUCUGUGUGUCAGAGGGUGUGUGUGUGUGUGUGUGUGUGUGUUUUGCAGGAUGAGGUGUGUUCUGUGAGUGUGAUGUGGGGGGUGCAGGGUGCAUAUCUGUGUCUACAUUUCUUUUUUUUCUUCUUCUUCUUUUUUUUGAGACAGAGUCUCGCUCUGUCGCCCAGGCUGGAGCGCAGUGAUGCGAUCUCCACUCACUGCAAACACUGCCUCCCAGGUUUAAGCAAUUCUCCCAGCUCAGCCUCCCAAGUAGCUGAGAUUACAGGCGCAUGCCACCACGC
This 1923-nucleotide long non-coding RNA is filed under the name Homo sapiens (human). RNAcentral's name for it is "HSALNT0275467". Lineage: Eukaryota; Metazoa; Chordata; Mammalia; Primates; Hominidae. The record is from RNAcentral.